This 218-nucleotide ribosomal RNA is filed under the name uncultured bacterium. Its description in RNAcentral is "partial 16S ribosomal RNA". It matches the Rfam family "Bacterial small subunit ribosomal RNA", at positions 113 to 334 of the family's 1533-position model. The record is from RNAcentral.
AUGUCUGGGAAACUGCCCGAUGGAGGGGGAUAACUACUGGAAACGGUAGCUAAUACCGCAUAACGUCGCAAGACCAAAGAGGGGGACCUUCGGGCCUCUUGCCAUCGGAUGUGCCCAGAUGGGAUUAGCUAGUAGGUGGGGUAACGGCUCACCUAGGCGACGAUCCCUAGCUGGUCUGAGAGGAUGACCAGCCACACUGGAACUGAGACACGGUCCAG